RNAcentral lists this ribosomal RNA (351 nucleotides) under uncultured bacterium. Its description in RNAcentral is "partial 16S ribosomal RNA". The record is from RNAcentral.
CUGCUGCCUCCCGUAGGAGUCUGGACCGUGUCUCAGUUCCAGUGUGGCUGAUCAUCCUCUCAGACCAGCUACGGAUCGUCGCCUUGGUGGGCCUUUACCCCGCCAACUAGCUAAUCCGACAUCGGCUCAUUCAAUCGCGCAAGGUCCGAAGAUCCCCUGCUUUCACCCGUAGGUCGUAUGCGGUAUUAGCGUAAGUUUCCCUACGUUAUCCCCCACGAAAAAGUAGAUUCCGAUGUAUUCCUCACCCGUCCGCCACUCGCCACCCAGAGAGCAAGCUCUCCUGUGCUGCCGUUCGACUUGCAUGUGUUAGGCCUACCGCCAGCGUUCACUCUGAGCCAGGAUCAAACCCUC